Long non-coding RNA from Pectinophora gossypiella (pink bollworm), 1393 nucleotides. RefSeq lists it as uncharacterized. Lineage: Eukaryota; Metazoa; Arthropoda; Insecta; Lepidoptera; Gelechiidae. The transcript has 2 exons. The record is from RefSeq and is a predicted model, not a curated record.
UCCGAGGAAUGGCCCGGCUCAAGUGUGAUACAAAUAACCUCUGAUGGCGUAUAACUGAUGUUUAGACUAGUAUUGUUUUGAGUGAGGAGACUAAUGGGUGUGCUCGACAUAUUUCUUGCGUUUUCAACUCAAUAUACGCAAGGGCAGUGCUGGGAGCUGUACGGAGGGAUUUUUGAAAGAAAAAGAAAGAUUUAUUACCUCCGGACACCACAUACACAGACAGACAGUGAUAACCCUGUUCGGAGAACGCGUGACUUAAUCGUAGUGUCCUUAGUUCGUUUCCCAGUUCGGUUUCUAAACCAUUGAAUUGGGCUUCAUGAGUUUGAACUCAUGUUUGAAUCAUUGAUUGGUAUUACGAGGUUUCCAGGAAUCGUGUCCGGUUAAUGGCAAUGGGCUCGCUCCAUAUUACAUGGGACUUCAAUAUAGCUGGCAAGGAUGUACACCUUUGUCUACCCCUUCGGAGAUACAGAUGUAAAUGCUGUUGUUGAGUUUUUAUCCGUUCAAAUAAAUCCGUCGCUGCUCGGUACCGUUUUAUAGGAAUUUCCGCUUGCCGCUUCGGAACGUCCCCGGAAUCUGUGUGUAUGCAGCUUAACACCGUUGAGAAAACGGCGCACGAGGCAUCUGGAUAUUUUGUAAUCAUUCGAAGCCGUCGUGUCGCUGAGUCAAAAUAUUGGUAUUAUAUUGCAAGUAACUGUGUGUGUUUCGGGUGCUUUCUACUAGUUUCUGAAUGCGUCAUAGCUAGAUAUUUUACUUAGACUCCUUGCCACGAAGUCCGUGGCUUGCAAUGGAGCUAAAAGACAAUUCAUAAUAAUGCUAUGGCGAUACUGUGACGUCACGUGAGUUCUUUCUUGGCGGAGACCUAUACUUACAUAUAAAUCCUGCCACAAUGUAGGUAUGGGGCAUUGGUGUCAAUUCUGGGAAAUACUUCAUAAAUGCAGUACCUGUUUGUCAAAAUCGGUAACACUAUUUAGUUAUUUUGAUUUCCCUAUAGUUCCCUAUGAACUGAAAUCGUAACAUAUAGUUACUUUCGUAUUUAUAAUAUGGAUUUUGAUUGUGUUAAGGUCAAGUGUAGGUUGAUUUAUAGCUGAUGUAUUAAAUGUCACUAAAAAACUUUUCUAUCACAUUUCGAAGUCCAUCUUCUACAUCUCCGGUUGAUUAAGAGGAGGCCAGUGCCUGGCAGUGGGACGUGUCUAGUUAUUAAAUAACUUGUAAUGUACGUAUACCUACGAUAAUGUAAAAGAUGUGUUGCUGUUGCAGUUUCUGUCAUUUCUUCUCCUCAGCCAUAACAGCGAGCUUCAACAAGUUUUUCUAUGAUUUUUCGUGGAAUAAAUGAUUAUGAUUUCUGUUAUAUUUAUAAUUAUAUAAGAAUAAAACACAAAAUAUAAACAAAAUA